RNAcentral lists this non-coding RNA (30 nucleotides) under Mus musculus (house mouse). The record is from RNAcentral. Lineage: Eukaryota; Metazoa; Chordata; Mammalia; Rodentia; Muridae.
UCCAGUCCCAUAGACCUCAAGCAGGCCUGG